CGCGUAGGCGGCUCGUUAAGUGUGAAGUGAAAUCCCCAGGGCUCAACCCGGGAACUGCUUUACAUACUGGCGGGCUUGAGGAUCGAAGAGGCUUGUGGAAUUCCUGGUGUAGCGGUGAAAUGCGUUGAUAUCAGGAGGAACACCCAUGGCGAAGGCAGCAAGCUGGUCGAUUCCUGACGCUGAGGCGCGAAAGCGUGGGUAGCAAACAGGAUUAGAUACCCUGGUAGUCCACGCCCUAAACGAUGGAUGCUAGGCGUGAGGGGUAUCGACCCCCCUCGUGCCGCAGCUAACGCACUAAGCAUCCCGCCUGGGGACUACGGCCGCAAGGUUGAA
Molecule: ribosomal RNA, 333 nt
Filed under: uncultured bacterium
Lineage: Bacteria
Description: bacterial SSU rRNA
Rfam family: Bacterial small subunit ribosomal RNA
Source: RNAcentral